Molecule: transfer RNA, 74 nt
Filed under: Enterococcus faecium
Lineage: Bacteria; Bacillati; Bacillota; Bacilli; Lactobacillales; Enterococcaceae
Description: tRNA-Val
Rfam family: tRNA
About the family: Transfer RNA (tRNA) molecules are approximately 80 nucleotides in length.
Source: RNAcentral
GGAGGUUUAGCUCAGCUGGGAGAGCAUCUGCCUUACAAGCAGAGGGUCAGCGGUUCGGAUCCCGUUAACCUCCA